UGGGGAAUUUUGGACAAUGGGCGCAAGCCUGAUCCAGCCAUGCCGCGUGCGGGAAGAAGGCCUUCGGGUUGUAAACCGCUUUUGUCAGGGAAGAAAUCUUCUGAGUUAAUACCUCGGGAGGAUGACGGUACCUGAAGAAUAAGCACCGGCUAACUACGUGCCAGCAGCCGCGGUAAUACGUAGGGUGCAAGCGUUAAUCGGAAUUACUGGGCGUAAAGCGUGCGCAGGCGGUUUUGUAAGACAGAGGUGAAAUCCCCGGGCUCAACCUGGGAACUGCCUUUGUGACUGCAAGGCUUGAGUGCGGCAGAGGGGGAUGGAAUUCCGCGUGUAGCAGUGAAAUGCGUAGAUAUGCGGAGGAACACCGAUGGCGAAGGCAAUCCCCUGGGCCUGCACUGACGCUCAUGCACGAAAGCGUGGGGAGCAAACAGGAUUAGAUACCCUGGUAGUCCACGCCCUAAACGAUGUCAACUGGUUGUUGGGAAGGUUCCUUCUCAGUAACGUAGCUAACGCGUGAANUUGACCGCCUGGGGAGUACGGCCGCAAGGUUGAAACUUAAAUGAAUUGACGGGGUCAUAGCUGUUUUCCUG
This 587-nucleotide ribosomal RNA is filed under the name uncultured bacterium. RNAcentral's name for it is "partial 16S ribosomal RNA". It matches the Rfam family "Bacterial small subunit ribosomal RNA", at positions 355 to 1383 of the family's 1533-position model. The record is from RNAcentral.